GACGAACGCUGGCGGCGUGCUUAACACAUACAAGUCGAACGAUGAAACCUAGCUUGCUAGGUCGAUUAGUGGCGAACGGGUGAGUAACACGUGACUAACCUGCCCCUUUCUCUGGGAUAACGCUCCGAAAGGAGUGCUAAUACCGGAUACUCACACCGAGGCACAUGCCUUGGUGUGGAAAGUUUUUCGGAAAGGGAUGGAGUCGCGGCCUAUCAGCUUGUUGGUGAGGCAACGGCUCACCAAGGCGACGACGGGUAGCCGGCCUGAGAGGGCGACCGGCCACACUGGGACUGAGACACGGCCCAGACUCCUACGGGAGGCAGCAGUGGGGAAUAUUGCACAAUGGGCGCAAGCCUGAUGCAGCGACGCCGCGUGAGGGAUGAAGGUCUUCGGAUUGUAAACCUCUUUCAGUAGGGACGAAGCGAAAGUGACGGUACCUAAAGAAGAAGCACCGGCUAACUACGUGCCAGCAGCCGCCGUAA
This 482-nucleotide ribosomal RNA is filed under the name uncultured bacterium. Its description in RNAcentral is "partial 16S ribosomal RNA". It matches the Rfam family "Bacterial small subunit ribosomal RNA", at positions 28 to 523 of the family's 1533-position model. The record is from RNAcentral.